Aedes albopictus (Asian tiger mosquito) is the source of this 1144-nucleotide long non-coding RNA. RefSeq lists it as uncharacterized. NCBI's taxonomy places the organism in Eukaryota, Metazoa, Arthropoda, Insecta, Diptera, Culicidae. The transcript has 2 exons. The record is from RefSeq and is a predicted model, not a curated record.
AGACAAAACAGUACAGUUUGAAACAACAAACGCGUUUGUUGAAUCUCAAUAUUAAUAAAUAGUAGUUUUCAAUCGCAAAUUUGUUAUUUCAAAACCACGAAGUCGGUUUGAUACAAACCGGCAAAUUUGUUGUUUCUUCUACCAGCAAUAUUUUCAUAAUAAUAGCCGAAGUCAGUUACUUCAAACCAAUGUUUUGUAAUUUUUACCAAAAUGCAGUCGUUUAUUUUUACUAAAUCUUAGGUUGAUUUAACUGCCUUAAACAAACCAAAACAUUAGUUUGAUUUUACCAAUCCGGCGAUUAAAUCAAACCAAUAUUCCGGUUAACGCAAAAAUAACAAACAAAUUAGUUUGAAUCAAACCAAAUUACUGGAUCAUAUUUGUCAACAUCAUAUUUGUUUUUUUUUUUCUAUGUCAUAACCGCAUUUUAGUCUGAGCAGUUCAGCUGAACAAAAACUCAGCGAUUUUCCGUUAUUUAGAACUUACGAGAGAUGCAGAAUAAAAACAUUACGAGAACUAACGUGCCGGAUCUCCGAUUAGAUGGAUAUCUUGUCUGCGAAUUUGUUGGACCUUGUUUUUUCACCACUAGUUUCACCAUGAUCGCCGAGGGAUAAUUGAGGUGGAAAACUCCGGGAAGAUCGAACGGCUACGGCAAGGAGGACGGCAAAACCGUGCUGCCGGAGAUGUUUGCCGUCGGGUACAUCCACUCGAAAAAGAGGUACGUCAACAUCCGAGAGCUGCCCAAGAUUGUACAAACGAUUGGAUUCAAUUUUGAGGAUGCGUUGGAUCUGGACAAGGAUGCAUUGGAUCUGGAAUGGCGAAGAGCCUGAUGCCCUGCGAAGCUCUUGUGACCGGGACAGGUUCAGCGAGCCUUCGUUGCGAUUGCGAAGCAGUUUGUGAAACAAAUUUUCAAAACGUUUGAGUACAACGAACCAGAGAUGCUGUUGAGGGUUCUCCACAUGAACAAUAGAGAACAUAACAAAAAAAAAAUGUUUCUAGCGAAUAUUGUUAAGUCACAUAUUACAUUUUGGUAAAUAAAUAUGUGUAAUUAAGAAUUUAUUUAAAAUAAUUUUCAUUGUCAUAAAAACAAUAAUGAGAAGAAGAGCAAUCCAAUAAAAACAACCAAUUCGUUGGUAAAUUCAACCGA